UCAAGAAUUGACCUACCAACCUGUAUGUAUAGCCUGCCGGUCAUUCAAAUCAGUAAGAGCACUGCUGAUGGCUUAAGUGGGGAUGUGCCUCCUCAGGUGCUACAGGCUCUAGCAGCGAGACAGGAGGCAAUACUGACUAAACUAGAGAAUUUAAGAGCUGAGGUCCUAAAGUACACCAAAUCUGCUGGAAUUAGUACUAAAGCUUCCAUACCUUUACAAGGGCAACAGGGUAUCUCCAAACCAGACGCGGCGUGACGAGCAGACAGAAACUCCCCAGAAGAGAAGACAGUCAGCUGAAUUCAUGGAGCUCUCAUCUCUACUUAUAAACAAUGUAACCGUGAUUAGUUUGAUGCUCUAGACUUUACGAGUGACUGAAAUCUUUUGAGCUUAUACAAUUUCUCAUUUAAACCUUAUUUAUUCAUAUUUAACUUCAUUUAUUCUCAUUAAUCGAAUAUAUGUAAAAGUUUUAUAUCUUAAACUCAAAGUUUUAUAUCUAAGAAGCAGUUAAAGCCUAGCCAGCUUUUUUCCUUUUAAAGAAGAUUUAAACUUAUAUUUUACUUUCAGAAUUAGAAUGGGUUGAUUUUCCUAUUCUAAAACCUCGUACUGUUGCCCAGGUUGUGUUUAAUCAAGAUAUCUCUGAGUAAACCCUUUUGAUCAACUCCACCACCCGGAAUCUACUCUUCAUGAAGCCGAUGCUUGGGGAACAUGUCACCUCCUCCUCGUUCCUCUUGUAAGGCUCAGCCUAAUGAUAUAUAUACCAGGAUUAAACAGAACCUCGUUGCUACUCAAUAGCCUCGUAAUCUUCUCGCACUCCGGAGCUCCUGUGUUCUGGAUGAUGUGCUCGACGGAUCAUACUUGGAACCCUGUUGUGAAACCCUCCUCCAGCUCAAGCAUAACGGACCUGUAAGCUUGUACUGGAUCAUCUUCUCGAGACCUACCUCUUACCUCACCCACUGGUGCAGCCAUCUGUUAUUAUAAAGCCCAAGUCUGCGUGGUCGAUGAACUCCUUCACGACCUCCACCUAGCAGCGGACCAUAAACUGUGCCUCCUCUCCUAAAGCUUCUACUGGACGGACUGAUCCUAGGCGCAACCUACGGAUCAUUGAUAGUCUCGUCCUGGACUUACCUACCUGACUGCAGAGCUAGCGAUCCAACCUCAAAUCUACUUGGAAACUCUUAGCGAUCUAUCCUGCGAUCUAUCUAUGGCUACGAACCCCCUGGCCAGUUCAACUUUUUCACGACUAGAGCUGUAUGAAACUCCUGUUCCUGAAAUACAUGCUUGAAUAAACUUGUCCGUGCAUUAAAGAGGUGCGCCAGGGUAUAUUGGAUGCUCGUCCAUUAUGUUUGUAAGCCUCCUACCAGCUCCUCCUGGG
Molecule: RNA transcript, 1372 nt
Organism: Eurytemora carolleeae
Lineage: Eukaryota; Metazoa; Arthropoda; Copepoda; Calanoida; Temoridae
Exons: 9
Source: RefSeq, a predicted model, not a curated record